This 62-nucleotide non-coding RNA is filed under the name unclassified sequences. The record is from Rfam.
GGACAAUCUGCAGUCCUAACAAGGCAGAGACGACUGGUGAUAGAGAACACCUAAAAAGCUUA